AAAAUGCGAUAAGUAAUGUGAAUUGCAGAAUUCAGUGAAUCAUCGAAUCUUUGAACGCACAUUGCGCCCGCCAGUAUUCUGGCGGGCAUGCCUGUCUGAGCGUCAUUUCAACCCUCGGGACCCCGUUCGCGGGACCCGGCGUUGGGGAUCAGCCCGAAGCCCCCCGGGGCGGGCGGCUGGCCCCGAAAUCUAGUGGCGGUCCCCCCAGCGACCUCCUCUGCGCAGUAGUAAUUCACCUCGCAGCUGGACAGCGGGAGGGCCACGCCGUAAAACCCCCAACUUCUCAAAGGUUGACCUCAGAUCAGGUAGGAAUACCCGCUGAACUUAAGC
RNAcentral lists this unclassified non-coding RNA (330 nucleotides) under plant metagenome. RNAcentral's name for it is "partial contains 5.8S ribosomal RNA, internal transcribed spacer 2, and large subunit ribosomal RNA". The stretch from base 1 to 105 matches the Rfam family "5.8S ribosomal RNA", at positions 50 to 154 of the family's 154-position model. The record is from RNAcentral.